RNAcentral lists this ribosomal RNA (425 nucleotides) under uncultured prokaryote. Its description in RNAcentral is "bacterial SSU rRNA". It matches the Rfam family "Bacterial small subunit ribosomal RNA", at positions 355 to 796 of the family's 1533-position model. The record is from RNAcentral.
UGGGGAAUCUUGCGCAAUGGGCGAAAGCCUGACGCAGCGACGCCGCGUGCGGGAUGAAGGCCCUCGGGUUGUAAACCGCUUUCAGUAGGGACGAAAUUGACGGUACCUGCAGAAGAAGCCCCGGCCAACUACGUGCCAGCAGCCGCGGUAAUACGUAGGGGGCAAGCGUUGUCCGGAUUUAUUGGGCGUAAAGAGCUCGUAGGCGGUUUGGUAAGUCGGAUGUGAAAUCUCCACGCUCAACGUGGAGGCGCCAUUCGAUACUGCCAUGACUCGAGUCCGGUAGGGGAGUGUGGAAUUCCCGGUGUAGCGGUGAAAUGCGCAGAGAUCGGGAGGAACACCCGUAGCGAAGGCGGCACUCUGGGCCGGUACUGACGCUGAGGAGCGAAAGCGUGGGGAGCGAACAGGAUUAGAUACCCCCGUAGUCC